GCUUUUUCUUUCACCGGAGCUUGCUCCACCGAAAGAAAAGGAGUGGCGAACGGGUGAGUAACACGUGGGUAACCUGCCCAUCAGAAGGGGAUAACACUUGGAAACAGGUGCUAAUACCGUAUAACAAUCGAAACCGCAUGGUUUCGGUUUGAAAGGCGCUUUUGCGUCACUGAUGGAUGGACCCGCGGUGCAUUAGCUAGUUGGUGAGGUAACGGCUCACCAAGGCAACGAUGCAUAGCCGACCUGAGAGGGUGAUCGGCCACAUUGGGACUGAGACACGGCCCAAACUCCUACGGGAGGCAGCAGUAGGGAAUCUUCGGCAAUGGACGGAAGUCUGACCGAGCAACGCCGCGUGAGUGAAGAAGGUUUUCGGACCGUAAAACUCUGUUGUUAGAGAAGAACAAGGAUGAGAGUAGAAUGUUCAUCCCUUGACGGUAUCUAACCAGAAAGCCACGGCUAACUACGUGCCAGCAGCCGCGGUAAUACGUAGGUGGCAAGCGUUGUCCGGAUUUAUUGGGCGUAAAGCGAGCGCAGGCGGUUUCUUAAGUCUGAUGUGAAAGCCCCCGGCUCAACCGGGGAGGGUCAUUGGAAACUGGGAAACUUGAGUGCAGAAGAGGAGAGUGGAAUUCCAUGUGUAGCGGUGAAAUGCGUAGAUAUAUGGAGGAACACCAGUGGCGAAGGCGGCUCUCUGGUCUGUAACUGACGCUGAGGCUCGAAAGCGUGGGGAGCAA
Molecule: ribosomal RNA, 731 nt
Filed under: uncultured Bacilli bacterium
Lineage: Bacteria; Bacillati; Bacillota; Bacilli
Description: bacterial SSU rRNA
Rfam family: Bacterial small subunit ribosomal RNA
Source: RNAcentral